Molecule: ribosomal RNA, 1305 nt
Filed under: Mycobacterium sp. DWMJ-1217B1
Lineage: Bacteria; Bacillati; Actinomycetota; Actinomycetes; Mycobacteriales; Mycobacteriaceae
Description: bacterial SSU rRNA
Rfam family: Bacterial small subunit ribosomal RNA
Source: RNAcentral
GGGGUACUCGAGUGGCGAACGGGUGAGUAACACGUGGGUGAUCUGCCCUGCACUUUGGGAUAAGCCUGGGAAACUGGGUCUAAUACCGAAUAUGACCGCGCACUUCCUGGUGUGUGGUGGAAAGCUUUUGCGGUGUGGGAUGGGCCCGCGGCCUAUCAGCUUGUUGGUGGGGUAAUGGCCUACCAAGGCGACGACGGGUAGCCGGCCUGAGAGGGUGACCGGCCACACUGGGACUGAGAUACGGCCCCAGACUCCUACGGGAGGCAGCAGUGGGGAAUAUUGCACAAUGGGCGCAAGCCUGAUGCAGCGACGCCGCGUGAGGGAUGACGGCCUUUCGGGUUGUAAACCUCUUUCAAUAGGGACGAAGCGCAAGUGACGGUACCUAUAGAAGAAGGACCGGCCAACUACGUGCCAGCAGCCGCGGUAAUACGUAGGGUCCGAGCGUUGUCCGGAAUUACUGGGCGUAAAGAGCUCGUAGGUGGUUUGUCGCGUUGUUCGUGAAAACUCACAGCUUAACUGUGGGCGUGCGGGCGAUACGGGCAGACUAGAGUACUGCAGGGGAGACUGGAAUUCCUGGUGUAGCGGUGGAAUGCGCAGAUAUCAGGAGGAACACCGGUGGCGAAGGCGGGUCUCUGGGCAGUAACUGACGCUGAGGAGCGAAAGCGUGGGGAGCGAACAGGAUUAGAUACCCUGGUAGUCCACGCCGUAAACGGUGGGUACUAGGUGUGGGUUUCCUUCCUUGGGAUCCGUGCCGUAGCUAACGCAUUAAGUACCCCGCCUGGGGAGUACGGCCGCAAGGCUAAAACUCAAAGAAAUUGACGGGGGCCCGCACAAGCGGCGGAGCAUGUGGAUUAAUUCGAUGCAACGCGAAGAACCUUACCUGGGUUUGACAUGCACAGGACGCCAGUAGAGAUAUUGGUUCCCUUGUGGCCUGUGUGCAGGUGGUGCAUGGCUGUCGUCAGCUCGUGUCGUGAGAUGUUGGGUUAAGUCCCGCAACGAGCGCAACCCUUAUCUUAUGUUGCCAGCGCGUAAUGGCGGGGACUCGUGAGAGACUGCCGGGGUCAACUCGGAGGAAGGUGGGGAUGACGUCAAGUCAUCAUGCCCCUUAUGUCCAGGGCUUCACACAUGCUACAAUGGCCGGUACAAAGGGCUGCGAUGCCGUGAGGUGGAGCGAAUCCUUUCAAAGCCGGUCUCAGUUCGGAUCGGGGUCUGCAACUCGACCCCGUGAAGUCGGAGUCGCUAGUAAUCGCAGAUCAGCAACGCUGCGGUGAAUACGUUCCCGGGCCUUGUACACCCCGCCCGUCA